RNAcentral lists this unclassified non-coding RNA (378 nucleotides) under plant metagenome. Its description in RNAcentral is "partial contains 5.8S ribosomal RNA, internal transcribed spacer 2, and large subunit ribosomal RNA". The stretch from base 1 to 105 matches the Rfam family "5.8S ribosomal RNA", at positions 50 to 154 of the family's 154-position model. The record is from RNAcentral.
GAAAUGCGGUAAGUAAUGUGAAUUGCAGAAUUCAGUGAAUCAUCGAAUCUUUGAACGCACCUUGCGCUCCUUGGUAUUCCUUGGAGCAUGCCUGUUUGAGUAUCAUGAAAUCUUCAAAGUAAAUCUUUUGUUAACUCAAUUGGUUUCUACUUUGGUAUUGGAGGUCUUUGCAGCUUCACACCUGCUCCUCUUUGUUCAUUAGCUGGAUCUCAGUGUUAUGCUUGGUUCCACUCGGCGUGAUAAGUUAUCUAUCGCUGAGGACACUGUAAAAGGUGGCCAAGGUAAAUGCAGAUGAACCGCUUCUAAUAGUCCAUUGACUUGGACAAUACUUUUAUGAUCUGAUCUCAAAUCAGGUAGGACUACCCGCUGAACUUAAGC